RNAcentral lists this ribosomal RNA (405 nucleotides) under uncultured bacterium. Its description in RNAcentral is "bacterial SSU rRNA". It matches the Rfam family "Bacterial small subunit ribosomal RNA", at positions 355 to 775 of the family's 1533-position model. The record is from RNAcentral.
UCGAGGAUCUUCGUCAAUGGGCGCAAGCCUGAACGAGCGACGCCGCGUGCGCGAUGAAGGCCUUCGGGUUGUAAAGCGCGAAAGUGGAGAGAAAGGGAAACUUGAUCAAUCCACAGUAAGGACGGGCUAAGUUCGUGCCAGCAGCCGCGGUAAGACGAACUGUCCUAACGUUGUUCGGAAUCACUGGGCUUAAAGGGCGCGUAGGCGGUCCGACAAGUCAGGGGUGAAAUCCUGCAGCUUAACUGUAGAAGUGCCUCUGAUACUGUCGGUCUUGAGGGAAAUAGGGGUGUGCGGAACUUCCAGUGGAGCGGUGAAAUGCGUUGAUAUUGGAAGGAACGCCGGAGGCGAAAGCGGCGCACUGGAUUUCUUCUGACGCUGAGGCGCGAAAGCCAGGGGAGCAAACGG